UUAAGCCAUGCGAGUCAAAUGUUCUUCGUGAACAUGGCGUACUGCUCAGUAACACGUGGAUAACCUGCCUUAGGACUGGCAUAACCCCGGGAAACUGGGGAUAAUUCCGGAUAGUUCAUGGUAGCUGGAAUGCUCCAUGAUCGAAAGCUAUUGCGCCUAAGGAUGGGUCUGCGGUCUAUCAGGUAGUAGUGGGUGUAAUGUACCUACUAGCCGACGACGGAUACGGGUUGUGGGAGCAAGAGCCCUGAGAUGGAUUCUGAGACAUGAAUCCAGGCCCUACGGGGCGCAGCAGGCGCGAAAACUUUACAAUGCGGGAAACCGCGAUAAGGGGACGCCGAGUGCCAGCAUCUUAUGUUGGCUGUCCGCAUGUAUAAAUCACAUGUGUUAGCAAGGGCCGGGCAAGACCGGUGCCAGCCGCCGCGGUAACACCGGCGGCCCGAGUGGUGGCCACUAUUAUUGGGUCUAAAGGGUCCGUAGCCGGUUUGGUAAGUCUUCCGGGAAAUCUGACGGCUUAACCGUUAGGCUUUCGGGGGAUACUACCAGGCUUGGGACCGGGAGAGGUAAGAGGUACUACGGGGGUAGGAGUGAAAUCUUGUAAUCCUCGUGGGACCACCAGUGGCGAAGGCGUCUUACCAGAACGGGUCCGACGGUGAGGGACGAAAGCUGGGGGCACGAACCGGAUUAGAUACCCGGGUAGUCCCAGCCGUAAACUAUGCUCGCUAGGUGUCAGGGACGGUGCGACCGUUUCUGGUGCCGCAGGGAAGCCGUGAAGCGAGCCACCUGGGAAGUACGGUCGCAAGGCUGAAACUUAAAGGAAUUGGCGGGGGAGCACUACAACGGGUGGAGCCUGCGGUUUAAUUGGACUCAACGCCGGAAAACUCACCGAGGGCGACAGCAAUAUGUAGG
This 906-nucleotide ribosomal RNA is filed under the name uncultured archaeon. Its description in RNAcentral is "bacterial SSU rRNA". It matches the Rfam family "Archaeal small subunit ribosomal RNA", at positions 44 to 953 of the family's 1478-position model. The record is from RNAcentral.